Long non-coding RNA from Neoarius graeffei (lesser salmon catfish), 292 nucleotides. RefSeq lists it as uncharacterized. The transcript is spliced from 3 exons. The record is from RefSeq and is a predicted model, not a curated record. NCBI's taxonomy places the organism in Eukaryota, Metazoa, Chordata, Actinopteri, Siluriformes, Ariidae.
UCUCCAAGCCGCUAAUGCUUUCCUGGACUCAAAGAUCAGAAGAGCACGAGAUCUUGCAACACAAAAACUGAAUGAGCCUGUGAGCAUACAGAAUGUCACCUAUCAGAAAAUGGGCAACAACUCAUACAAUAUUAGCUUUGCGUUCCGAAUCAGCAAUGUGACCAUCUCCAAGGAUGUGCAGCUGAGGAACGAAACAUAUACUUUAAUCCAAAACACCAUCAACAGCCUGUUGAAUGAUAUUCUGAAUGUCAAAGGUAGUACUCCAUUUGUCUUCCCACGAGCAACUUACAGG